This 505-nucleotide ribosomal RNA is filed under the name Botryosphaeria sp. D136_100. RNAcentral describes it as "eukaryotic LSU rRNA". The stretch from base 199 to 352 matches the Rfam family "5.8S ribosomal RNA". Lineage: Eukaryota; Fungi; Ascomycota; Dothideomycetes; Botryosphaeriales; Botryosphaeriaceae. The record is from RNAcentral.
UUAAUUAGGAGACCAUUACCGAGUUGAUUCGGGCUCCGGCCCGAUCCUCCCACCCUUUGUGUACCUACCUCUGUUGCUUUGGCGGGCCGCGGUCCUCCGCGGCCGCCCCCCUCCCCGGGGGGGUGGCCAGCGCCCGCCAGAGGACCAUCAAACUCCAGUCAGUAAACGAUGCAGUCUGAAAAACAUUUAAUAAACUAAAACUUUCAACAACGGAUCUCUUGGUUCUGGCAUCGAUGAAGAACGCAGCGAAAUGCGAUAAGUAAUGUGAAUUGCAGAAUUCAGUGAAUCAUCGAAUCUUUGAACGCACAUUGCGCCCUUUGGUAUUCCGAAGGGCAUGCCUGUUCGAGCGUCAUUACAACCCUCAAGCUCUGCUUGGUAUUGGGCACCGUCCUUUGCGGGCGCGCCUCAAAGACCUCGGCGGUGGCGUCUUGCCUCAAGCGUAGUAGAACAUACCAUCUCGCUUCGGAGCGCAGGGCGUCGCCCGCCGGACGAACCUUCUGAACUU